Molecule: ribosomal RNA, 370 nt
Filed under: uncultured bacterium
Lineage: Bacteria
Description: bacterial SSU rRNA
Rfam family: Bacterial small subunit ribosomal RNA
Source: RNAcentral
GUAGGUGGCGAGCGUUGUCCGGAAUUAUUGGGCGUAAAGAGCAUGUAGGCGGCUUAAUAAGUCGAGCGUGAAAAUGCGGGGCUCAACCCCGUAUGGCGCUGGAAACUGUUAGGCUUGAGUGCAGGAGAGGAAAGGGGAAUUCCCAGUGUAGCGGUGAAAUGCGUAGAUAUUGGGAGGAACACCAGUGGCGAAGGCGCCUUUCUGGACUGUGUCUGACGCUGAGAUGCGAAAGCCAGGGUAGCGAACGGGAUUAGAUACCCCGGUAGUCCUGGCCGUAAACGAUGGGUACUAGGUGUAGGAGGUAUCGACCCCUUCUGUGCCGGAGUUAACGCAAUAAGUACCCCGCCUGGGGAGUACGGCCGCAAGGUUG